Molecule: ribosomal RNA, 254 nt
Filed under: uncultured Acholeplasma sp.
Lineage: Bacteria; Bacillati; Mycoplasmatota; Mollicutes; Acholeplasmatales; Acholeplasmataceae
Description: partial 16S ribosomal RNA
Rfam family: Bacterial small subunit ribosomal RNA
Source: RNAcentral
GGGGGACGUCUAGCGAGACUGCCAGUGAUAAACUGGGAAGAAGGUGGGGGAUGACGUCAAAUCAUCAUGCCCCUUAUGACCUGGGCUACAAACGUGAUACAAUGGCUGAAACAAAGGGCAGCGAAGCAGUGAUGUGGAGCGAAACCCAAAAAAGCAGUCUCAGUUCGGAUUGAAGUCUGCAACUCGACUUCAUGAAGUCGGAAUCGCUAGUAAUCGCGGAUCAGAACGCCGCGGUGAAUACGUUCUCGGGGUUU